Small nucleolar RNA from Harpia harpyja (harpy eagle), 80 nucleotides. RefSeq annotates it as small nucleolar RNA SNORD53/SNORD92. The transcript has a single exon. The record is from RefSeq and is a predicted model, not a curated record. NCBI's taxonomy places the organism in Eukaryota, Metazoa, Chordata, Aves, Accipitriformes, Accipitridae.
AUGCAGUGAUGAUACCAAUCUUGGUUUCGCUUUUUUGCUGAAUUCCAGUGAAGACGCAUUUCUCUUGGCUGUCUGAGCAU